GAUGAACGCUGGCGGCGUGCCUAAUACAUGCAAGUCGAGCGGACAGACGAGGAGCUUGCUCCUCUGAUGUUAGCGGCGGACGGGUGAGUAACACGUGGAUAACCUACCUAUAAGACUGGGAUAACUUCGGGAAACCGGAGCUAAUACCGGAUAACAUGUUGAACCGCAUGGUUCAACAGUGAAAGACGGUCUUGCUGUCACUUAUAGAUGGAUCCGCGCCGCAUUAGCUAGUUGGUAAGGUAACGGCUUACCAAGGCAACGAUGCGUAGCCGACCUGAGAGGGUGAUAGGCGACACUGGAACUGAGACACGGUCCAGACUCCUAAGGGAGGCAGCAGUAGGGAAUCGUACGCAAUGGGCGAAAGCCUGACGGAGCAACGCCGCGUGAGUGAAGAAGGUCUUCGGAUCGUAAAAAUCUGUUAUGAGGGAAGAACAAAUGUGUAAGUAAAUAUGCACGUCUUGACGGUACCGAAUCAGAAAGCCACGGCUAACUACGUG
This 497-nucleotide ribosomal RNA is filed under the name uncultured bacterium. RNAcentral describes it as "partial 16S ribosomal RNA". It matches the Rfam family "Bacterial small subunit ribosomal RNA", at positions 28 to 507 of the family's 1533-position model. The record is from RNAcentral.